GGAAUUCCCAGUGUAGCGGUGAAAUGCGUAGAUACCGGGAGGAACACCAGUGGCGAAGGCGGCCCCCUGGGCUGAUCCUGACGCUGAAUGCGAAAGCUAGGGGAGCAAACGGGAUUAGAAACCCCGGUAGUCCUAGCCGUAAACGAUGGAUACUAGGUGUAGGAAGUUAAAAUACUUUCUGUGCCGGAGCUAACGCGUUAAGUAUCCCGCCUGGGGAGUACGGCCGCAAGGCUAAAACUCAAAGGAAUUGACGGGGACCCGCACAAGCAGCGGAGCGUGUGGUUUAAUUCGAUGCAACGCGAAGAACCUUACCAGGGCUUGACAUGUAGGUAGUAGUGAAGCGAAAGCGGAACGAUCCUUCGGGAAGCCUACACAGGUGCUGCAUGGCUGUCGUCAGCUCGUGCCGUGAGGUGUUAGGUUAAGUCCUGUAACGAGCGCAACCCUUGCCGUUAGUUACAUGUGUCUAACGGGACUGCCCGGCAAAACUGGGAGGAAGGUGGGGAUGACGUCAAGUCAGCAUGGCCUUUAUGUCCUGGGCUACACACACGCUACAAUGGCCGGUACAAUGGGUAGCCAAGCCGUGAGGCGGAGCCAAUCCUCCAAAUCCGGUCUCAGUUCGGAUUG
This 624-nucleotide ribosomal RNA is filed under the name uncultured Chloroflexota bacterium. Its description in RNAcentral is "bacterial SSU rRNA". It matches the Rfam family "Bacterial small subunit ribosomal RNA", at positions 663 to 1300 of the family's 1533-position model. The record is from RNAcentral. Lineage: Bacteria; Bacillati; Chloroflexota.